GACGGAACAACAACCUAUUCACUCGAAGACUUAGCCGCGAACCAGUCUUCGCCUAAGUUAAAAACAUACUCCUAGUGCACAACAAUCCUCUCACUCGGGGGCUUAGGUGCGAACAAAAAUCGCCUAAGUUUCUAAAAACAUUCCGAGUGCAGAACAAUCCUCUCACUCAGAGGAUUAGCUGCGAACCAGUCUUCGCCUAAGUUAAAACCUAGCCGAGUGAACAUCAACCUAUUCACUCGGAGACUUAACCACGAACUAGUCUUCGCCUAAGUUAAAAACAUACUCCGAGUGCAGAGCAAUCCUCUCACUCGGGGGCUUAGCUGCGAACAAGAUUUGGCCUAAGUUUCUACUCGCUUACCUACCUUUACCUAAUAAUAAUGAGGGAGAUGAAUGUCACACUCACUGUUAACUCGAUAUAUACUUCCUACUCAUGUUUUCUCUCAUGUUGCGUCUUUCUUUCCCAUGCAAAUAUCAUGCAAUAUCUUGUCUUUGGUUGUGUCACUUCUCGGUUACUCAUAGGCAUGAGAGAUAUUAGGAAGUUCCUUGCUACGGAGUUUCAGAAUGGGACAACAAUGAUGAUUUGGUGUUCAAUGCUGUGGGAUGUUUUGUUGAGAUUUAGUUAAGCAUGCUUUAGGACAACAAUGUUUUGGUGUUUGAUACCGCCUGAAGCAUUGCUGAGUGUUCAGUAAGUACAUUUUCUUGGAUGCGAGUGGAUCAAAAGCAAAUUCAGCAUUGGUGCAUGUAGUAACUUCUGAACGAGAUGUUUAAAAAUAAGUCCUACCAUUCUCCAAUUUACUAGAAGUCCAGGGAAUAGCACGGUUAAGAAAAACCUUUAUUCAAUGAGUACGUAAUAUGACACGCGUGCAGAAGCUUAUUUUUGAAAACUUUCUUCUAGAGUAAGCGCAUGGCAAGAACACAUUUUUUCUAGCCAUGCAUCAUGAUACGUGCGUGCGUGCAACUUUCAAAGUACUUGCUUACGCUGAACUCCAAAACGAGAGAGGUUGAUCAGAUAACAAGGUAAUUAAGAGACUAGACUUGCAAACUAAAGUUGACCAAAGAACAAAUAUGGACCUUAUGGAUAAAUAGUCGAAGAGAGGACGAUGCAUGAGGGGACUGAAGAGGUAGCAGUGGCUAGCGAGCAACAGGUCGGCUUCCACAUAAACGAAACGCGCAAAUUCUUGCAAUGAAGAGAAGAAUAAAGAGCCUUGGCAUCUGAAUAUUUAUUUUCUGCUAGACUCAAACGGAGGUGUACUCAUAGACAUAAAGGUGUUCAAAAGUUCCCAACAAUAUCUAAUUUUCUCUAUCCCCACAUUUUGAAGCGCUGAGCAUUACUAAACUGGUUUGUAUAUGCGGUACAUAAGUUGAGAUUAGUGUUUUAGAGAAUGGGCUCGGUGGAGCCAGUUUUUCUUAAAAUAUGUCAAAAUAUUAUUUAAAUUUUUAAUAAAAAUCUAAUUAUUUUCUACAAAU
RNAcentral lists this long non-coding RNA (1467 nucleotides) under Hordeum vulgare. RNAcentral's name for it is "long non-coding RNA (HVUL_LNC011355)". Lineage: Eukaryota; Viridiplantae; Streptophyta; Magnoliopsida; Poales; Poaceae. The record is from RNAcentral.